This 217-nucleotide long non-coding RNA is filed under the name Carica papaya (papaya). RNAcentral's name for it is "long non-coding RNA (CPAP_LNC014866)". Lineage: Eukaryota; Viridiplantae; Streptophyta; Magnoliopsida; Brassicales; Caricaceae. The record is from RNAcentral.
AGAGAGCUGUUCUUUUUCUUCACAAAUAACACCAGGGCACCCCAUGGAGAAUGAUUGGGGCGGACAAAUUUUUUACCAAUAAGUUCAGAAAUCUAGGUUUCCAAUUCUGCGAGCUCAAUACGACUCAUGCAAUAGGCAAGUUUAAGAUAGGUUGUGUUCCAGGAAGCAGUUCAAUAGAAAACUCUAUCUCCCACAGGGGAGGCAGACGAGGUAGAUC